This 468-nucleotide ribosomal RNA is filed under the name uncultured bacterium. Its description in RNAcentral is "partial 16S ribosomal RNA". It matches the Rfam family "Bacterial small subunit ribosomal RNA", at positions 28 to 507 of the family's 1533-position model. The record is from RNAcentral.
GACGAACGCUGGCGGCGUGCUUAACACAUGCAAGUCGAACGGUGAAGCUCCAGCUUGCUGGAGUGGAUCAGUGGCGAACGGGUGAGUAACACGUGAGCAACCUGCCCCAGACUCUGGAAUAAGCGCUGGAAACGGCGUCUAAUACUGGAUACGAGAUCAAGCCGCCUGGUUAUGGUCUGGAAAGUUUUUCGGUUUGGGAUGGGCUCGCGGCCUAUCAGCUUGUUGGUGAGGUAAUGGCUCACCAAGGCGACGACGGGUAGCCGGCCUGAGAGGGCGACCGGCCACACUGGGACUGAGACACGGCCCAGACUCCUACGGGAGGCAGCAGUGGGGAAUAUUGCACAAUGGGCGAAAGCCUGAUGCAGCGACGCCGCGUGAGGGAUGACGGCCUUCGGGUUGUAAACCUCUUUCAGCAGGGAAGAAGCGAAAGUGACGGUACCUGCAGAAGAAGCACCGGCUAACUACGUG